Molecule: ribosomal RNA, 464 nt
Filed under: uncultured bacterium
Lineage: Bacteria
Description: partial 16S ribosomal RNA
Rfam family: Bacterial small subunit ribosomal RNA
Source: RNAcentral
CUACGGGAGGCUCCAGUGGGGAAUAUUGCACAAUGGGCGCAAGCCUGAUGCAGCCAUGCCGCGUGUAUGAAGAAGGCCUUCGGGUUGUAAAGUACUUUCAGCGGGGAGGAAGGGAGUAAAGUUAAUACCUUUGCUCAUUGACGUUACCCGCAGAAGAAGCACCGGCUAACUCCGUGCCAGCAGCCGCGGUAAUACGGAGGGUGCAAGCGUUAAUCGGAAUUACUGGGCGUAAAGCGCACGCAGGCGGUUUGUUAAGUCAGAUGUGAAAUCCCCGGGCACAACCUGGGAACUGCAUCUGAUGCUGGCAAGCUUGAGUCUCGUAGAGGGGGGUAGAAUUCCAGGUGUAGCGGUGAAAUGCGUAGAGAUCUGGAGGAAUACCGGUGGCGAAGGCGGCCCCCUGGGCGAAGACUGACGCUCAGGUGCGAAAGCGUGGGGAGCAAACAGGAUUAGAUACCCCGGUAGUC